AUUGAACGCUGGCGGCAUGCUUUACACAUGCAAGUCGAACGGUAACAGGCCGCAAGGUGCUGACGAGUGGCGAACGGGUGAGUAAUGCAUCGGAACGUGCCCAGUCGUGGGGGAUAACUACUCGAAAGAGUAGCUAAUACCGCAUACGAUCUAUGGAUGAAAGCGGGGGACCGUAAGGCCUCGCGCGAUUGGAGCGGCCGAUGUCAGAUUAGGUAGUUGGUGGGGUAAAGGCUCACCAAGCCAACGAUCUGUAGCUGGUCUGAGAGGACGACCAGCCACACGGGGACUGGGACACGGCCCAGACUCCUACGGGAGGCAGCAGUGGGGAAUUUUGGACAAUGGGCGCAAGCCUGAUCCAGCAAUGCCGCGUGCAGGAAGAAGGCCUUGGGGUUGUAAACUGCUUUUGUACGGAACGAAACGGCUCUGGUUAAUACCCGGGGCUAAUGACGGUACCGUAAGAAUAAGCACCGGCUAACUACGUG
This 482-nucleotide ribosomal RNA is filed under the name uncultured bacterium. Its description in RNAcentral is "partial 16S ribosomal RNA". It matches the Rfam family "Bacterial small subunit ribosomal RNA", at positions 30 to 507 of the family's 1533-position model. The record is from RNAcentral.